GUGGGGAAUAUUGCGCAAUGGGCGAAAGCCUGACGCAGCCACGCCGUGUGUGUGAUGAAGGCCCUCGGGUCGUAAAGCACUGUCGGGAGGGAAGAUAGUCACUUUGGUUAAUACCCAGAAUGACCGACGGUACCUCCAAAGGAAGCACCGGCUAACUCUGUGCCAGCAGCCGCGGUAAGACAGAGGGUGCGAGCGUUGUUCGGAAUCAUUGGGCGUAAAGAGCACGUAGGCGGUAUUACAAGUCGGAUGUGAAAGCCCGGGGCUCAACCCCGGAAGGGCAUCCGAAACUGUAGUACUUGAGUCCCGGAGAGGGUGGUGGAAUUCCUGGUGUAGAGGUGAAAUUCGUAGAUAUCAGGAGGAACACCUGUGGCGAAGGCGACCACCUGGACGAUGACUGACGCUGAGGUGCGAAAGCGUGGGGAGCAAACAGG
This 431-nucleotide ribosomal RNA is filed under the name uncultured bacterium. Its description in RNAcentral is "bacterial SSU rRNA". It matches the Rfam family "Bacterial small subunit ribosomal RNA", at positions 354 to 776 of the family's 1533-position model. The record is from RNAcentral.